GAUGAACGCUGACAGAAUGCUUAACACAUGCAAGUCUUUGGUGAAGCUGUGCUUGCACCGCCUAGCCAAGGCGGACGGGUGGGUAACGCGUAAGGAACUUGCCCUGCAGUCAGGGAUAACAGACGGAAACGACUGAUAAGACCUGGUAAAGUCAGGCGGACUCAUGUCCAGCCUGAUGAAAAGAGAUGCUGCAGGAGAGCCUUGCGUCCUAUUAGCUUGUUGGUGGGGUAACGGCCCACCAAGGCAAUGAUAGGUAGCCGGCCUGAGAGGGUGGACGGCCACAAGGGGACUGAGAUACAGCACUUACUCCUACGGGAGGCAGCAGUGGGGAAUAUUGGACAAUGGGGGCAACCCUGAUCCAGCAAUUCUGUGUGCACGAUGAAGGUUUUCGGAUGGUAAAGUGCUUUCAGCAGGGAAGAAAAAAAUGACGGUACCUGCAGAAGAAGCGACGGCUAAAUACGUG
Molecule: ribosomal RNA, 463 nt
Filed under: uncultured bacterium
Lineage: Bacteria
Description: partial 16S ribosomal RNA
Rfam family: Bacterial small subunit ribosomal RNA
Source: RNAcentral